CAGUCGCCACGGGAAUACGUAGGUGGCGAGCGUUGUCCGGAAUCAUUGGGCGUAAAGGGAGCGCAGGCGGGCAUGUAAGUCUUUCUUAAAAGUGCGGGGCUCAACCCCGUGAUGGGAAAGAAACUAUGUGUCUUGAGUACAGGAGAGGAAAGCGGAAUUCCCAGUGUAGCGGUGAAAUGCGUAGAUAUUGGGAGGAACACCAGUGGCGAAGGCGGCUUUCUGGACUGCAACUGACGCUGAGGCUCGAAAGCCAGGGGAGCGAACGGGAUUAGAUACCCGCGUAGUCCCUGUCUCUUAUACA
Molecule: ribosomal RNA, 301 nt
Filed under: uncultured bacterium
Lineage: Bacteria
Description: partial 16S ribosomal RNA
Rfam family: Bacterial small subunit ribosomal RNA
Source: RNAcentral